Molecule: long non-coding RNA, 129 nt
Organism: Aethalodelphis obliquidens (Pacific white-sided dolphin)
Lineage: Eukaryota; Metazoa; Chordata; Mammalia; Artiodactyla; Delphinidae
Exons: 3
Source: RefSeq, a predicted model, not a curated record
CAAGAAAAGCCAGAGAAACUCCCUAUAUAGCCAAAAGGAGACUAAGGAAAUAUGACAAUUUAAUGUAAUGUGUUUAUCCUAGAUGGGAUCCUGGAACAGAAAAAGGACAUUAGGUAAAAACUAAGGAAA